CUUCCCUGUGAAACAAAUUCCUCUUAAGUUGAAGCCAUACCUAUUUACUUGCAUUGCACGCUUCCAAUGUACUCGUCUUUCCAAUUUCCCCUACUUUCAAUCAUUACUUAGCCUUCAUGUUGUUCGAAGAGUCACAUCCCAUUUCUCGAUCAAUGCAGAACAGUUAUCGAGCCACUCCAACAACAAGUCAUCAUCAUUUCAAUACUUGCUUUCUCAAUCCUUCUCGCUAGAACAAAAAAAUGCAUUUGACACUCUUAGUUCAUCUGCAGCAAUCAAUCAAACCAACGUUAUCGCCAUGAGUUCGCAAUCCUCAACUGGUUCCAGCGUUAAGUUAGCCAAGCUAUGAUCUCUGCCCCUUAUCCAUUGGUACUCUCACCCACUGCUCUACCCUAUCUUGAUGCCUCAACUCAGAAUAUGACCAUCCUCUUCAAUGGAAGUUGACCGUCAACAAUCCUGACUUUGGUCAACAAUGUAUUACUAAUCCAUGGUAUCAAUUCUUGGAAAAUAAUGACUUCGACCCUAGGGAUGAGAUAUCCUUCUACUUCAGGACUUAUCAAAGAGUAUGAGAAUUAGUUAUCAGAAAACAGUAGCAUUGGGAUGAUAUUGACUCUGAUUAGAAAUCAUUGACAAGCUGUUGGGUUUCCAUUCAUCUUAUUUCAGUAUAUUACCGAAUGCAAAAUUACAACCGCAACUUAUUUCAUUUUUUUUCUA
This is a long non-coding RNA of Glycine soja, 711 nucleotides long. RefSeq lists it as uncharacterized. The transcript has 3 exons. NCBI's taxonomy places the organism in Eukaryota, Viridiplantae, Streptophyta, Magnoliopsida, Fabales, Fabaceae. The record is from RefSeq and is a predicted model, not a curated record.